RNAcentral lists this ribosomal RNA (460 nucleotides) under uncultured bacterium. Its description in RNAcentral is "partial 16S ribosomal RNA". It matches the Rfam family "Bacterial small subunit ribosomal RNA", at positions 338 to 795 of the family's 1533-position model. The record is from RNAcentral.
CCUACGGGUGGCAGCAGUGAGGAAUAUUGGUCAAUGGGCGUAAGCCUGAACCAGCCACGUCGCGUGAGGGAUGAAGGUUCUAUGGAUCGUAAACCUCUUUUAUAAGGGAGUACGGUGUGGGACGUAUCCUGUUUUGUAUGUACCUUAUGAAUAAGGAUCGGCUAACUCCGUGCCAGCAGCCGCGGUAAUACGGAGGAUCCGGGCGUUACACGGAUUUAUUGGGUUUAAAGGGUGCGUAGGCGGUCUUUUAAGUCAGCGGUGAAAGUCUGUGGCUCAACCAUAGAAUUGCCGUUGAAACUGGGGGGCUGGAGUAUGUUUGAGGCAGGCGGAAUGCGUGGUGUAGCAGUGAAAUGCUUAGAUAUCACGCAGAACCCCGAUGGCGAAGGCAGCUUGCCAAGCCAUGACUGACGCUGAGGCACGAAAGCGUGGGGAUCAAACAGGAUUAGAUACCCUGGUAGUC